RNAcentral lists this ribosomal RNA (593 nucleotides) under Cephalobidae environmental sample. RNAcentral's name for it is "SSU rRNA". It matches the Rfam family "Eukaryotic small subunit ribosomal RNA", at positions 1024 to 1643 of the family's 1831-position model. Lineage: Eukaryota; Metazoa; Nematoda; Chromadorea; Rhabditida; Cephalobidae. The record is from RNAcentral.
UUCUCACCGUAAACGAUGCCAACUAGCGAUCCGCCGGUGGAUUUUUAGCCCUGGUGGCUAGCUUCCCGGAAACGAAAGUCUUCCGGUUCCGGGGGAAGUAUGGUUGCAAAGCUGAAACUUAAAGGAAUUGACGGAAGGGCACCACCAGGAGUGGAGCCUGCGGCUUAAUUUGACUCAACACGGGGAAACUCACCCGGCCCGGACACCGUAAGGAUUGACAGAUUGAUAGCUCUUUCAUGAUUCGGUGGUUGGUGGUGCAUGGCCGUUCUUAGUUCGUGGAUCGAUUUGUCUGGUUUAUUCCGAUAACGAGCGAGACUCUAGCCUACUAAAUAGUAACGAGAUUAUCAAUGUCUCAGUUGCUUCUUAGAGGGAUUUUCGGUGUUUAGCCGCACGAGAUUGAGCAAUAACAGGUCUGUGAUGCCCUUAGAUGUCCGGGGCUGCACGCGCGCUACACUGGCGAAAUCAGCGUGCUGUAUCCAUUCUCGAAAGGGAUUGGUAAACCCAUGAAAAUUUGCCGUGCUUGGGAUCGGAAAUUGCAAUUAUUUUCCGUGAACGAGGAAUUCCAAGUAAGUGCGAGUCAUCAACUCGCUCUG